This 756-nucleotide ribosomal RNA is filed under the name fungal sp. R58. RNAcentral's name for it is "eukaryotic LSU rRNA". The stretch from base 263 to 417 matches the Rfam family "5.8S ribosomal RNA". Lineage: Eukaryota; Fungi. The record is from RNAcentral.
AGGGAUCAUUANCACGNUGACGCGNUGAUGGGACUGCGUAAGCUUGAUGGUAGCAAUACUGUCGAACCAUGGCUCUGUCCGCUGAGACUAACAAUCUUCCCUCCAAUAUAUUGCUGUCAUGCUCGUGGCCCGCUGCGGGACACGGGUGUGAUGGUAAUAUACCCCAAAUGUCUUGAAUCUACUGAUUUCCUCUUAAUCUUGCCUUGUAAGUGGUCUAGCCCUCGGGCUCUGAACGCGAGCAUUGUAAUUUUAAAACACGAACAAUUCGUGGCAAUGGAUCUCUUGGUUCUCGUACCGAUGAAGAACGCAGCGAAAUGCGAUAUGUAAUGCGAAUUGCAGAAUUCAGCGAAUCAUCGAAUCUUUGAACGCAAAUGGCACCCUCGGGUUAGUCCCUUGGGUACGCCUCUCUCAGUGUCGGUUUUAAACCUCUCUGGCCCUUGCUUGCUUCACGGCUCGCUUGGUUGCUGGGUAUAUGAGGGUCGCGGCCUCACGGUCGGAGUCCCUUUAAAGUCAUUGAGUUAUUCUACUCCUAGUUAACGCUUGCGUCGCAAUGCUAGCUAGCCAGUGUUGGGUAAUUGCCGCUUGCGGUACACUUUAAUACUGGUUGGUAUGCUUCGUAAGUUAGGCUGUAUGAAUAAUGUUUGCAAAGCGGCGAGAGCCGUGGCGCACAUGGAUAUAAUCCCAAGCGUGCUUCAGUGCUGCCUGGUCCUUCAUGUAAAAGACCUGAGAUGAGACGAGAUUACCCCCUGAAUUUAA